Gossypium hirsutum (cotton) is the source of this 106-nucleotide non-coding RNA. The record is from Rfam. NCBI's taxonomy places the organism in Eukaryota, Viridiplantae, Streptophyta, Magnoliopsida, Malvales, Malvaceae.
AACUCGUAGUGCGAGCAUUUUUUAUUCAACAUUUUGAACUGUUCCCAUGCCUCAUAGAAACUCUCUCCCUCCAUCUAUCUAAAAAAAACAAUCUCUCUUCUUACUU